Molecule: long non-coding RNA, 1743 nt
Filed under: Canis lupus familiaris (dog)
Lineage: Eukaryota; Metazoa; Chordata; Mammalia; Carnivora; Canidae
Description: lncRNA (ENSCAFG00000051065.1)
Source: RNAcentral
AGACUAACUUGGUUUGGAGAAAAUUGGGAGAUUUUAUUAACUGGUUGAAGCCAGAAAGCCCCAAGGGAAACAAGCAAUAAGAGCCCUCCCUCACUUUGCUACAACAUUACAAGCAUCUUUCAGAAGUGCAGGUCAUCAGCAAUUCAUAGAGAAGUUCUAACCACAAUCAAGCUGUAAGGACACUUGUGAGAAGCUUUUCCAUCCGAGAAACACAAACAGUUCCAUCGAUCUUACUAACACCCUAGAGGGAGCGAAGUGGGAUGAUCUGUCACUACACCUGCAGCACCACGCUCGGAGGACAGCUCCUGCUCGCAGCUUCCAGACUCAGGUAAAAAAAAAAAAAAAAAAAAAAAAAAAAAUUGUGAGCGGGCGCCGUGCAUGCAUUUCAAUACCAGAUGCGCGUCGCAACCUAGCCCCUGUAGAGGCAAUCUGCUGCUGCUGCUGCUGCUAAGUGUCCUUUGGUGGCUGGUUGCAGCUUCAAGGUUUAAGAAAUCCCAUCUUUCAGGAAGCCUGAGGGGAAGGAAGGAAGUACGGGCGAAAUCAUCAGAUUGGCUUCCCAGAUUUGGGGAUCUGAAGCGGGCCCACGUCUUCCGGCCAACUUCCAUUGAACUUCCAGCACUCGAAAGGGACCGAAAUGGAGAGCAAAGGCAGGAAAGAAUAUGAAGAGACCCUGAAGAGAGGAGAUCCCAUUGGACUAAGGAGAUGGAAAGAUGCGCUGGUGUCAAGUUCGGAGAUGAUAUGGAGGGGAGGGGAUUUGAGAUGCAGAGAACUGUCAGAGCAAGUGUGUGGGGGAGGAAGGAGGAAGAUCAGACAUGCCUACGGAAUAGCAAGUAAUCAAGUCAUUGAUUUAUCUGGAUCUGUGGUCCUUAUCAAGAUUCAUAAAUUGAUGGUGCCAUUUUUAGAGAAGUGUAAGAUCUGAGGCCAAGAAGUCUGUAUUUCACAAAAUCAAUAAUUCAAGAAAAUAUGGCAAGGGACACGUGAUCAUCUGCUAAAUGCAUAGUAUAGAAUGUAAUGGAACAUGAGUAAUUGUGACCCAAACCUCCAUCUUCAGCCUUCAAGCAAGAAGAAAUGAUUUGUUUUAAAGAUGGGUAUGUAAAUGAUUUUUGACAAAUUUCAAGCAGCACUUGACUCCUGUGGGCUUUUCGAUUUGGAAUGAAUACUUGUCUGUAUUAUCCAACUUCUUUGUACUUCUGGAAAAAAACUAUUUUGUUGCUGAAAAGAAAAACCUUCAAGUUUUAAUAAACCCUCCUGAAUCCUCUGCAGUUCCUAUUGACAUAUUAACAUAAAUUUUGGUUAAGGACAAAUAAAUUCGAAUUGUAAAGAUAUAAUUUCCUGAGAACUGCAUGUAUGGUCUGAAUGAAUGAACUCCUCUAUAAGGGACUAACAAUGUACAAGCCAGUUUAGGCUUUAAACAUUUUUUUCCCUAGUUUCAGACUUUUCUCUUUAUAUUCCCUCUACAUCCUCUCACUAUAUAUUCUGAUUCUGAUUGUGGUUCUAUACAUAUGCUGGUUUCAGAAUAAAGUAUCGAGACUUAACAUUCAUUCUAUGAUUUUUGCGUGAAGUGGAUAUUUGUAGCUUGAGUUUCAGAUCGAGUGCAGUGGUAAGGUGGAAAGAGAUGGAAGUACCAGGGUCAGAAUCCACUCUGUUAAGGGUCACUCUAACUUAAUCGCAAGUGGCCUUGGGCAAUUAAAAAAACCCUCCUGGGUGUCUAGGUGGCUCAGUUGUUUAAGUAUCUGCCUUCAG